UACAGAGGGUGCAAGCGUUAAUCGGAAUUACUGGGCGUAAAGCGUGUGUAGGUGGUUGGAUAAGUUAGAUGUGAAAUCCCCGGGCUUAACCUGGGCAUUGCGUUUAAAACUGUUUAACUAGAGUACUGUAGAGGAUAGUGGAAAUUCCAGUGUAGCGGUGAAAUGCGUAGAUAUUGGAAGGAACACCAGUGGCGAAGGCGACUAUCUGGAAAGAUACUGACACUGAGACACGAAAGCAUGGGGAGCAAACAGG
Molecule: ribosomal RNA, 253 nt
Filed under: uncultured bacterium
Lineage: Bacteria
Description: partial 16S ribosomal RNA
Rfam family: Bacterial small subunit ribosomal RNA
Source: RNAcentral